GUUCCUAUGCUUUCUCUCAUCGUUGGAUUUGAUCCAAAAUCAUCUACUGCGAUUUCAAAGUGUAUGAUCAUGGGAGCUUCGGUCUCUACUGUUUACUAUAAUCUAAAGCUCAGGCAUCCAACAAUUGAUAUGCCUAUUAUUGAUUAUGAUUUGGCUGUUCUCAUCCAGCCAAUGCUGAUGCUUGGCAUUAGUAUUGGAGUUACUUUUAAUGUGAUAUUUGCUGAU
This 225-nucleotide unclassified non-coding RNA is filed under the name Hevea brasiliensis (rubber tree). Lineage: Eukaryota; Viridiplantae; Streptophyta; Magnoliopsida; Malpighiales; Euphorbiaceae. The record is from RNAcentral.